Molecule: ribosomal RNA, 603 nt
Filed under: Triticum aestivum (bread wheat)
Lineage: Eukaryota; Viridiplantae; Streptophyta; Magnoliopsida; Poales; Poaceae
Description: partial small subunit ribosomal RNA
Source: RNAcentral
AUGCUUCACUCGGCGUCACCUUGGAUGGACAAGUUACUCAUGCUGGACAUUCGAAGAAUGGAAUUUUCUACAGUCAACGAUCGCACGGGCUACCAUAUGCAUCUCAGGUGUCUGCCUGGCCAGGCGGAUGAAGUUGUUGACAGAAACGAUAUGCCAUCCAGACGCCGGUCUGGCCAUACCAGAAGUCUUCCUCGCAUUGUAGUGGGCAAAGAAGGGACUAUUGAGAUGUUUUCUCUCGUUGGUGGUCACAGCCCAAAUAGCUCGUUUGGUCUCUAUCAUACAACUCAGCAAAAUAACUCUGAAUCUCCCAAGGAAUGGCAGCUAGAGAAUAUUAUACAGUUGCCUGGCCAGUAUCAUUAUUUCACCUUGGGCGCGGCUGAGGGAUUCUUAUUCCUUGGAGCCACUACAGAAGAUCAGCUGGACAUUGACGAAGACUCGCCGGUGUGGUUGUCAAGGACUGAUUGGGAUGUAGACUAUUUUUCUCUGGAUGUCAAGACUUCUGAACUUGUAAAGGUUUGUAGGAGGAAGAAGAAAUUCUUCCAUUAUGAAAAUGUUUAUUGGUACUUUGGCUUCCCUCCGUCGUUAUCAAAGCCGACUAUUUGA